AAAAGAUUCCAACAACUGGGUGUGAGAACUACUGCAAAAAGAAGUAGUCCUCAGUGGGUACCGCUACCGACCUCAACGGCUCACUCACUAAGUCUACAGAUGUAAACAAGUAUAGCAAGAAAGCUGGAAUAAAUCUACAGCUAUAUGCAUCUAUAAUAUCUCAGUCUAGCACCAACUAUCUGUAGAAAAGUAAAUCCUGACCCAAUAUCGCUAGGGACUGUGAACACACUCGUCCCGCCUAUUGAAGCUACACUAUCUGACACCAAACCAGGUCGUCAGUGGAGAGCAAGUCCAACCAGGACAAAACAACACCAACGCAAAAGCACAAAGCCCAUCUCCGGAGUGGCACUCGCGGGCGCUACCCAACUGAGUAUGCAAGUGUGUCUCUGUCGAGUUCAAUCAGGCUUUCGCAGGCUAUAGUCAAGUAAAUAGGGUCUAACUGGUCUAACAACCAAAACACACAUGCCCUCGGCACAAUCUGAUGCAAAACUGUAAUCUGGGUCCAUCGUCAACUCCAACGGCACCCGACAAUCUAGAACAGUCUGAACAAUACUGUAAAAAUAGGCUCGGCAUCCCAGCACGAGCGUAAUAUUAUUCUACACUAUUUUGGGUAUCCAUCGCCCACAAACUGCGGCGAUACAAACAAAUUACGGCUCCUAGAGCUAAAUCUGGUAGUUUGAUCAAAUGACGGUGUAGAAACGUCAGUUUUCUCCUAAGUCAAAUCCAAGUCCAAUAUGUAUUAUUUUAGCUAAUUUACUAAGCUCCAAUUCGAGUUCAAAAGCAUGCUAUUCCAAGAAUCAAGUUAAACAAUAUACUAAACAAAGCUAAAAAUAUAUGUUGUCGACACAUAUAGAAUUAGGAGGAAACCCGUAGAAUUCGGUAAGCAUCACUUUAACCCACCUCGAAAGCGCAUCCAACAACGGCGAGAAGUCAAAAGAAGCGGAAAUCCCGUGCUCGGCCGGCCCCCAACGGCACUACCACGACGCACGUAGGCUCAAACGGCUCUCCGGCGCGAAGUCGACGUUGCUCCAAGCUACAACUGUCGUGGCCUCCACUAAGUAUAUAAUCAAACUAGAGAGAGAGAAGCAAAAGGCUAAUUAUCCUCAGGCCAAGUUGAGAGGAUAAUUAUAACGAGGGAGUAGGU
Molecule: long non-coding RNA, 1144 nt
Filed under: Ananas comosus (pineapple)
Lineage: Eukaryota; Viridiplantae; Streptophyta; Magnoliopsida; Poales; Bromeliaceae
Description: long non-coding RNA (ACOM_LNC035891)
Source: RNAcentral